This 62-nucleotide transfer RNA is filed under the name Nacolus tuberculatus. RNAcentral's name for it is "tRNA-Ser". The record is from RNAcentral. Lineage: Eukaryota; Metazoa; Arthropoda; Insecta; Hemiptera; Cicadellidae.
AAGAGAUUUAAUAAAAACAGCUGCUAACUGAAUUUUUAAGCGAAAAUAACGUUUAUCUCUUU